This 67-nucleotide transfer RNA is filed under the name Simulium quinquestriatum. RNAcentral's name for it is "tRNA-Thr". The record is from RNAcentral. Lineage: Eukaryota; Metazoa; Arthropoda; Insecta; Diptera; Simuliidae.
GUUUUAAUAGUUUAACAAAAACCUUGGUCUUGUAAAUCAAAAAUAAAAUAAAUUAUUUUUUAAAACA